Molecule: long non-coding RNA, 851 nt
Filed under: Lathyrus oleraceus (garden pea)
Lineage: Eukaryota; Viridiplantae; Streptophyta; Magnoliopsida; Fabales; Fabaceae
Description: Pisum sativum (pea) long non-coding RNA (PSAT_LNC030061)
Source: RNAcentral
CGGAUUUACAUUUGAAAGGAGGCCCAAUUGCUAUCGCCAGAACUUGUUGGAUUCGCAAGUUGAACCACGGUAACUGGUGCGAUUUGAGGAAUUGCUGGAGCAAAAGGUGGUUAAGGAAUAUCAUCAAAAUCAAUAAGGCUCAUGAUAGUCUCAAGCUUAACUUCUGUUUGGGUUCCAUUACUGGAUGCCACACUACCGGAAGACGUCUUUCUCUGUGUGAUUCCUGAGCCAUUAGCAGCCUGUCCGCUGUUUGCUAUCAGGUAAAGAAUGAGUUUGUGGAUCCCACUCUUUAAAUAAUAUUUCUUUUGCAUGCUGAUUUCCUCCUUCUUGAAGUGCACUAACUUCUUGUGCAGUAAAUUUAACCAUGGAAACUGAUUUUACUCUAUGAGUAAAAUCUCGGUGUAUUCCACUACAGCUUGUGCAAACAAACGUCCAGAAAUUUGUGCAUACAUAUUGCGGUCCCAAGCUAUUGCAAUUAAUGCAUCUUCGAUUCUGUGUAAGUAAAAUCUCGGUGUAUUCCACUACAGCUUGUGCAAACAAACGUCCAGAAAUUUGUGCAUACAUAUUGCGGUCCCAAGCUAUUGCAAUUAAUGCAUCUUCGAUUCUGUGUAAGUUUGAGGAGACCUUGAAUGAUUCCUUCAUUUUUUCUUAUCUUCCUUUACUCGACUUGUCAUCUCCGCUUCUAAGAACUUAGAAGAUGAUGAAUGUGCAAAAGUAAUACUCUGAUUUUGUAGGAGAUAAUGAAGCAGUUAAGCAUCCUUUUUUAAGCUGACGAUGACGGACAAUGAGAAAGAUCCAGCAGUAUAACAACCAGAGAGAGGAAGUGAUUUUUUGAAUUAGUAAAUUACGAC